Passer domesticus (house sparrow) is the source of this 2560-nucleotide long non-coding RNA. RefSeq lists it as uncharacterized. Lineage: Eukaryota; Metazoa; Chordata; Aves; Passeriformes; Passeridae. The record is from RefSeq and is a predicted model, not a curated record. The transcript is spliced from 2 exons.
AUUUAAAUCACCUUCUCCAGAUCUUUCUAUUUCCUUUUAGAAUAUGGAGAAUUUAUGCUACCGACUGCAGAGGCACUAAGUAGUGACUAAAAGAACUUGCCUGACGCCGCGCUGCGGCCGCGGUCGGAGCAGGGGCGCCGGUCCCCGGCGCGAACCAAACUCCUUUCGCUUUCCGCACGCCCACGUCGGGCGUUGGCCGCGGUCCGGCUCCGCCGUGGGCAAGCAGGAAUCGCGGUUCAGCCACUGGCGCAGAUCCUACCAAACGUGGAUCUGGCGUCUAAGGACAGAAGUUAAGGGGGAAGAAAGGUUCUUUUGCGUGUUGUUUUCCGAUUGCUUUUAUUUCUCUCCCGCGCAAUCCGCGGAGCCGCCGCGUAAGAUCAGUUGUUGUUUCCUGCUGCGGGAGCAGCGCCGCGGCGAGAUAGGUGACGCCAUCUCGCAGGCAGCAGCAGCGCCCGCGGUGGCAGUCCCUCUCCUGCACAGGUGUCGAUCGGGCAGCAGCAGCCCGCGUAGUUGGAGCGGCAGCGCGGAGCAGCGGCUCGGUGGCAGCGGGGCUUUCCCGUCGCCGGGACGACAGCUGUUGCCGCGCUGCGCAGGCUGUCUUUUCUCUCGCAGCACCGGCUCGUGUCGGAGCUGCUGGCUUUGGAGCUGGCGCCGGCCGGGAUGCAAGAGGAGCGGGAUGCAAGGGGAAACACUGACAAAAGAACCGGGAAGCUGGGAAAAGCAGCGGCUUUUAAGCCAAAGAGAGUGGGAAAUCGUGCAACCUUCCAGACUCAGGGCAUCAAUCAUUCCAACUGCCAUGGCUAGACAACCCAAACCCUAGACUACACAUCUUCAAACUGCUAUCCCAACCUGACAGCCAAGAGACCAAACACACUGCAACAGGAGCUUCAAAACUCCUACCGACACCCACUGCCACACUUGCCUAUCAAUUCCUUAAAGCAAAAUCACCCUGGAAGGCCACCCUGGAAAGAAUGAAAUUCAGUCGAGUGCUUUUCACUGCAAUCACCAUUCUGCUCCAUCCGUGGAUAGCAGAAGGGUGCAUGGUGCAACAACCGACAGAAGAUGUAUGGCUGACUCUGGCGAAAACUCUGAAACAAGAUAAGAUCUGCUUGUCAAUGGGCAGCGUGGACAAUCCUCUAUCUACGUGCCUGGUGGGAAUGCCUCUGUCGCAAAAAGAUUAUCCAUAUGCGGGGAAGAAACCAAAUCCGGUUGACACCUGGGACACCUGGACAAAGAUUUUACCACAUGCCACACAAGAGCCUCAGGAGUUAGAUCUCUUGGGCUCUGCUCCAGCUACAUACUGUGUUAGGUUUUUCUAUCUACAAAAGAUACCCAUUUGGCAUGAUUCUGCAGUCUCAGGGACAAUAACUCAGAAAGAUGUAACACCAAAUAGCAGAAAAUAUAAUUCAGCCACAUGGUGCAGCUAUACCUCUAGCACACCAUCUGAGUCCAGUGAUGUUCCCAGAGUGUCACCGAGAGGUGUGUUUCUUAUCUGCAGCAACAGAGUGUGGGCAGGGAUCCCAUCAAAGAUCAAAGGAGGUCCCUGCAGCCUCGGACAGCUGACUGUCCUCACCCCAAACACAUCACAAAUUAUAAAUUGGCAGAAUCAAGAAGGAUUGGCACUCAAAAAGAGAUCUUACAGUCAAUUCGACCCAAAUUGCAAUGACAAAAUUUAUGGAUUGGAGCGAAUCCAAAAGAGUCUCUGCAUCCAUUUUUCUACCUUGGUACGCAGCUGCAAAGGCUCUCGGUGAAAUUUCCCACCUGGGGUGUUGGCUCAGCCGUCAGGCCAAAGCUGCCUCCGCAGCCCUGUCAGAUCUGCUCACGGAAGAAGAAACCACCAGGCACGCCACCCUACAAAAUAGAGCUGCCAUUGAUUUUCUCCUUCUGGCGCACGGUCACAGCUGUCAGGACUUUGCUGGUCUGUGCUGCUUUAAUUUAACAUCUAAAAGUACCUCCAUACACGCCAGCAUUCAGCAAAUUCGAAACCAAGUGCAAGACCUCAUGACGGAGACCAGAGACAUCAAUGUAGUACAUAAAGCACUCACACAGUGGGGAAUCCCUGGGUGGCUUGUACCAAUUCUCAAAAAUUUGGUGUGGAUUUUAGUAGUCAUUUUCAUUAUAAUGGUUGCCCUGAGUUGUUUCAAAAGAGCAAUGGAAAAGUCACUUGGAAAAAUUUAUUUAAUAAACAAAGAAGAGGGAGAUGUGAGGGUCAGGGAUGAGAAAGCUAUCUCAGGAAUGCCCUGGGAAAGCACCGUUGUCUAAGUCAGGGAAAAUUCAUUCCUUACCCAAGGUUCAAAUGCUGUACUCCCUUCCACAUCCCACUGAUUCUGUACCCUUUGUAUCUUUCAUUAGUUACUCCUGUGAAAAAUUUUCCCCUCCCAUCCCCCUCCAUGUAGCUGUGCCCAAAAUCUGUAACUUUCCCCAGAGAUCUCGCACUCGCCCUGGUGUCCUCUGCUGGUUGUUACUGACCCUGCUGUCUCUCCGGUCCACCGCCUGUCCCUCAGCCUACCCUCCGUGUUUUCCUACCCCUUUGGACCCUGCAAUAAAUCAGUUGCAAUGA